RNAcentral lists this ribosomal RNA (632 nucleotides) under diatom plastid AB4314. RNAcentral's name for it is "bacterial SSU rRNA". It matches the Rfam family "Bacterial small subunit ribosomal RNA", at positions 147 to 786 of the family's 1533-position model. The record is from RNAcentral. Lineage: Eukaryota; Bacillariophyta.
UCUGCGAAACGGCUCGCUAAUACCCACAUAGUGCUCUGAUGCGAGUGAAAUGGAUAUUUUCCGCGCUAGAGAGACAUGCGUCUGUCGUGCAUGAUGUCAUGACGUUGUUGGUGAGGUAAUGCGCUUACCAAGGCGACGAUCAGUAUGCUGGUUUGAGAGGACGAUCAGCACACACUGCGAACUGAGCACACGGUCCAGUACUCCUACGGGAGGCAGCAGUGGGGAAUUUUCCGCAAUGGGCGAAAGCCUGACGGAGCAAUCUCUGCGUGAGGGAUGACUGCCUAUGGGUUGUAAACCUCUUUUUUCAGGGAGGAAUUAAUGACGUUACCUGAAGAAUAAGCAUUGGCUAACUCCGUGCCAGCAGCCGCGGUAAGACGGAGGAUGCAAGUGUUAUCCGGAAUCACUGGGCGUAAAGCGUCUGUAGGUGGUUUAGUAAGUCAACUGUUAAAUCUUGAAGCUUAACUUCAAAAUCGCAGUCGAAACUAUUAGACUAGAGUAUAGUAUGGGUAAAGGGAAUUUCCAGUGGAGCGGUGAAAUGCAGUAUAGAUUGGAAAGAACACCGAUGGCGAAGGCACUUUCUGAGCUAUACUGACACUCAGAGACGAAAGCUAGGGUACAAAUGGAUUAAUCCC